AUGCUGGCGGCGUGCCUAACACAUGCAAGUCGAGCGGCAGCGAGUUUUACACUGAAUUCUGGAAGCUUCUGGGUAAUAUAGAAGAUUUAUUCAAGAAUUUUGUGUAAAAUGUCGGCGAGCGGCGGACGGCUGAGUAACGCGUAGGAAUUUACCUCAAAGUGAGGAAUAACUGCCCGAAAGGGUAGCUAAUGCCGCAUAUGGUCUUCGGAUUAAAGCCUUCGGGCGCUUUGGGAGAAGCCUGCGUUGGAUUAGGUAGUUGGUAGGGUAAUGGCCUACCAAGCCGACGAUCCAUAGCUGGUCUGAGAGGAUGAUCAGCCAGACUGGAACUGAGACACGGUCCAGACUCCUACGGGAGGCAGCAGUGAGGAAUCUUCCACAAUGGGCGAAAGCCUGAUGGAGCAACGCCGCGUGAAGGAUGAAGGCCUUCGGGUUGUAAACUUCUUUUAUGAGUGAAGAAUAUGACGGUAACUCAUGAAUAAGCACCGGCUAACUACGUGCCAGCAGCCGCGGUCAUACGUAGGGUGCGGGCAUUAUCCGGAGUGACUGGGCGUAAAGAGUUGCGUAGGCGGUUUAAUAAGUGAAUAGUGAAACCUGGUGGCUCAACCAUACAGACUAUUAUUCAAACUGUUAAACUCGAGAAUGGUAGAGGUAACUGGAAUUUCUAGUGUAGGAGUGAAAUCCGUAGAUAUUAGAAGGAACACCGAUGGCGUAGGCAGGUUACUGGGCCAUUUCUGACGCUAAGGCACGAAAGCGUGGGGAGCGAACCGGAUUAGAUACCCGGGUAGUCCACGCCGUAAACGAUGGAUACUAGCUGUUGGAGGUAUCGACCCCUUCAGUAGCGAAGCUAACGCGUUAAGUAUCCCGCCUGUGGAGUACGGCCGCAAGGCUAAAACAUAAAGGAAUUGACGGGGACCCGCA
This 918-nucleotide ribosomal RNA is filed under the name uncultured bacterium. RNAcentral's name for it is "bacterial SSU rRNA". It matches the Rfam family "Bacterial small subunit ribosomal RNA", at positions 33 to 925 of the family's 1533-position model. The record is from RNAcentral.